RNAcentral lists this ribosomal RNA (225 nucleotides) under uncultured Pseudoxanthomonas sp. RNAcentral describes it as "partial 16S ribosomal RNA". It matches the Rfam family "Bacterial small subunit ribosomal RNA", at positions 568 to 792 of the family's 1533-position model. Lineage: Bacteria; Pseudomonadati; Pseudomonadota; Gammaproteobacteria; Lysobacterales; Lysobacteraceae. The record is from RNAcentral.
UGCGUAGGUGGUUGUUUAAGUCCGUUGUGAAAGCCCUGGGCUCAACCUGGGAAUUGCAGUGGAUACUGGGCAACUAGAGUGUGAUAGAGGGUGGCGGAAUUCCCGGUGUAGCAGUGAAAUGCGUAGAUAUCGGGAGGAACAUCCGUGGCGAAGGCGGCCACCUGGGUCAACACUGACACUGAGGCACGAAAGCGUGGGGAGCAAACAGGAUUAGAUACCCCCGUA